CUUACGGAGAGUUUGAUCCUGGCUCAGGACGAACGCUGGCGGCGUGCCUAACACAUGCAAGUCGAGCGGAAAGGCCCUUCGGGGUACUCGAGCGGCGAACGGGUGAGUAACACGUGGGCAACCUACCCUCAGCACUGGGAUAACCCCGGGAAACCGGGGCUAAUACCGGAUACGACCUCGGGUGGCAUCACCUGAGGUGGAAAGCUUUUGCGGCUGAGGAUGGGCCCGCGGCCUAUCAGCUUGUUGGUGGGGUAACGGCCUACCAAGGCGACGACGGGUAGCCGGCCUGAGAGGGCGACCGGCCACACUGGGACUG
Molecule: ribosomal RNA, 316 nt
Filed under: Acidothermus sp.
Lineage: Bacteria; Bacillati; Actinomycetota; Actinomycetes; Acidothermales; Acidothermaceae
Description: bacterial SSU rRNA
Rfam family: Bacterial small subunit ribosomal RNA
Source: RNAcentral